UACGUAGGCAGCGAGCGUUGUUCGGAGUUACUGGGCGUAAAGGGUGUGUAGGCGGUUGUUUAAGUUUGGUGUGAAAUCUCCCGGCUCAACUGGGAGGGUGCGCCGAAUACUGAAUGACUUCGAGUGCGGGAGAGGAGAGUGGAAUUCCUGGUGUAGCGGUGAAAUGCGUAGAUAUCAGGAGGAACACCUGUGGCGAAGGCGUCCAUCUGGCCCGUUACUGACGCUGAGGCGCGAAAGCUAGGGGAGCAAACGGG
Molecule: ribosomal RNA, 254 nt
Filed under: uncultured bacterium
Lineage: Bacteria
Description: partial 16S ribosomal RNA
Rfam family: Bacterial small subunit ribosomal RNA
Source: RNAcentral